Molecule: RNA transcript, 1936 nt
Organism: Lotus japonicus
Lineage: Eukaryota; Viridiplantae; Streptophyta; Magnoliopsida; Fabales; Fabaceae
Exons: 11
Source: RefSeq, a predicted model, not a curated record
CUACAAUUUAUUCUGAAGUCAAAAUCAAUUAUGUCGAGAAGCUUUCAUGAGUAGAUUCUAUGAGCAAACAUGCAUGAUAAAUGAUUUCUCUUUGAGUUUAAUACAUAAGAUCUUAACACAUGACAUGUUAUAAUUAUAUAGCAUGUAACAUAUACUACUUCGUGCAUAUUUGGAUACAUGGUGGACAAAAAACUAAGGUGAUCGAAAAUCACGAUAAAUAAAAGCAACUUCUCUUAGCUUUUGUGACUGUUCACUGUGAUUUUUCAUUCACCAUGGCGGUGUAUCCAAACAUGCAGUUAGUGAGAAAAGUAUUUUGCUUGUUGUAACAUGCUAUUUCACCACCCAAUCAGUGCUCAUAAUUAAAAGUGCAGUAAGAUGAAGUUUUCAAUUUUCACCCAUUACAGUAGUGCUCAAUUCCAGCACUUUUAUGCUCUUAAAUGUGCCAACUAUGCUUUAUCUUAAGUCACAUCCUUUUUUCCCAUUCAGUACCUCAUCAUGCCCAUAUUAUCAUCAUCAAUGCUCUUUUUCCCCACACUUGCCAAUCUCUUGCACUUAAGUUGAGUUAAAAUGGAUGGUUGAUUUGGUGUAGGAAGUAAUGCUUGAAAGAAUUCCUUGUCAUACGAAAAAAUGGGGUGCUCUUACUCUGCAUACAGGAAGAAGAAAUCAAGCUUUCCUGAAGUUGUGGUCUUAGUUCCAUCAACCAGAAUUCCAGUGCAAUCUGAUCUUCAAAGAGCACUUAAAGGAUUAGUUCCAAAGGACCUUGCUGAUAAAUUAUCUUCGCUUCGGAACCAGAUAGUGUUGGUAGCAGAAGAUACUGACGGAUCACCUAUACCUGAAUUGAGGCGAGCUUUGAAUGAAUACUUAUCGGUUCUGAUUGGACUCACUAAGAAAGAGUAUGGUCUUGAUGGAUUAAUAGAAUUCAAGUGGAAAAAUUUCAAUGAUGGAAGACAAGAUAGCAAUAUAGCAAAUGUCUGGUUUGAAGUGCUAUCUGCUGUUCAUUUUAUGGCUAUGCUAGCACUUUCAGAGGCUGAUUCACUGAUGAUUCCAAAGGAUCAUUCAGGCUCUGGAUUCAGGGUUGUAUCUUCAGAUAACAAGAGGGAAGCAAUUGAUUUGCUACUCAAGGCAUCAGGAUACCUGGAGUUCUGUCUCAGGCAUAUUCUUACUCGGAUGCCCGCCGAAACCAAGAAAAUUUUACCCCAAGAUUUGCAGCAAGGUGUUUUGGAGGCUAUAGCUAUUCAAGCACUGGGCCAGGGAACUGAGAUUCAGCUUGGUCUUGCUGUUGAAAGUCAGAAGGCAAGUUUGUCUGUCAAGAGAAGGUUGGCAUGUGAACAGCUGAUAUACUUCAGUCAGGCUUUUCACUGCUUGACUGGAUGUGAGUCAUGUGACUUGAACCAAGGGCAUGCAAAGAAACAUCUCAGGUUCAUCAAAUGGAAAUUCCUUGAAACCAAGGCUGCAGCUUACUACUACCAUGGUCUGAUCCUUGACAAAGGUAAUGAACCAAGUGGUCACAUCAGCGCAGUGUCUUGUUUUCUUGCUGCAGAAGAACUGCUAGCUGAAAGCAAGAAGGCCUGUUUGAGCUUUUGCCUUGCAGCUCCUGUGACAAGGGCUCCUCCACUAUGGGGUGCUAUGAAGCAUUUAAAUCAGAAAAUUCCUGAAGUUGCAUCAAGGAAGUCUCAGAUGUAUGGCUACCUCUUGGAGCAAGAAAAGUAGGGAGUUUUCUCUGUUACUACUCUGACAUUCUCAUUUGAUGUUCUAACUAAAUGCUUUACUACCUUGAAAUAUAAUGAUCCAUAUUAAGGGGUCUUCAAGCAUUGCCAGACCUACCAGAGUUCCAAUUGUCAUUACGUCCAGAUGAUUAUGAACUUCCUGAGAUUGAUCCAGCAUGGGAUAGUAAUCAUUGGGAAACUCUAGGACAACCAUUGAAGGAGCACCUUAG